GAUGAACGCUGGCGGCGUGCCUAAUACAUGCAAGUCGAGCGAACAGACGAGGAGCUUGCUCCUCUGACGUUAGCGGCGGACGGGUGAGUAACACGUGGAUAACCUACCUAUAAGACUGGGAUAACUUCGGGAAACCGGAGCUAAUACCGGAUAAUAUAUUGAACCGCAUGGUUCAAUAGUGAAAGACGGUUUUGCUGUCACUUAUAGAUGUAUCCGCGCCGCAUUAGCUAGUUGGUAAGGUAACGGCUUACCAAGGCAACGAUGCGUAGCCGACCUGAGAGGGUGAUCGGCCACACUGGAACUGAGACACGGUCCAGACUCCUACGGGAGGCAGCAGUAGGGAAUAUUCCGCAAUGGGCGAAAGCUUGACGGAGCAACGCCGCGUGAGUGAUGAAGGUCUUCGGAUCGUAAAACUCUGUUAUUAGGGAAGAACAAAUGUGUAAGUAACUAUGCACGUCUUGACGGUACCUAAUCAGAAAGCCACGGCUAACUACGUG
RNAcentral lists this ribosomal RNA (497 nucleotides) under uncultured bacterium. Its description in RNAcentral is "partial 16S ribosomal RNA". It matches the Rfam family "Bacterial small subunit ribosomal RNA", at positions 28 to 507 of the family's 1533-position model. The record is from RNAcentral.